RNAcentral lists this ribosomal RNA (978 nucleotides) under Marphysa viridis. RNAcentral describes it as "partial 16S ribosomal RNA". It matches the Rfam family "Bacterial large subunit ribosomal RNA", at positions 688 to 2604 of the family's 2925-position model. The record is from RNAcentral. Lineage: Eukaryota; Metazoa; Annelida; Polychaeta; Eunicida; Eunicidae.
CUUUGCAAGAAUAACGCCAAUACUUUAUCCCGAAAUUUAGUGAGCUGAUUUUUAUCUGCUAAGAGCCCAAUAAUUAGUGUAACAAUAUUACUACAAGAAUAAAUAUCAGAGGCUACAUACCUAUCGCACUAAAUUAUAGCUGGUUUUUCAGCCCUCAGUCUAAGCUGCUCAAGCUGCCUAUAUUCUAUUCCCCCAGCUAUGAAAAAUAAUUAAGGACAAGCUUAAUUAUCCCCCUUAUUAAAUAAAAACAACCACAACUAGGUAGGCCUAGAACCAGCCAUCAUAAUACUACGUUAUAGUACCAAAAUUAAAAUCCCAAAUAAAUACUCAAUCCCUGAAAUAAGCUAUAAAACUCUCAAUAGUUCAAACUAUGCAAAGAUCAGUAUUCUACCCCUAAACCCAAAGUACUCCAACUCAUAUAUAAAUAAGGAACUCGGCAACCCCUUGUUCCGACUGUUUAACAAAAACAUUGCCUGUAGCAGCUCCUAUUACAGGUAUACCCUGCCCAGUGUUAUUAUCAACGGCCGCGGUACCCUGACCGUGCAAAGGUAGCAUAAUAAUUUGCCUUUUAAUUGAAGGCUAGUAUGAAAGGGCAAACGAGAACAAGACUGUCUCAUCUAUACUCAUAAAAAUUUAUCUUUAGGUGAAGAAGCCUAAAUCUAUAUAAAAGACAAGAAGACCCCGUCGAGCUUUAGCCUAAUAUGCGACCUCCUAAACUUACCAUACUCCCCCCCGCAUAAAAGCUUUUGUUGGGGCGACAACGGAAUCUACUAAUCUUCCGUCAUAUUUUAGACUUUAUGUCACUCAAAUGAUCCUUCACCGAUCACAAGAACAAGCUACCGCAGGGAUAACAGACUAAUCUUCCUUCGGAGCUCAAAUCUACAGGAAGGCUUGGCACCUCGAUGUUGGCUUAGGAAAAUCCCCUAGAUGAAGCAGUCUAGGAAGUGGGUUUGUUCAACCCUUAAUAUCCUACAUGAG